RNAcentral lists this ribosomal RNA (465 nucleotides) under Vreelandella stevensii. RNAcentral describes it as "partial 16S ribosomal RNA". It matches the Rfam family "Bacterial small subunit ribosomal RNA", at positions 338 to 795 of the family's 1533-position model. Lineage: Bacteria; Pseudomonadati; Pseudomonadota; Gammaproteobacteria; Oceanospirillales; Halomonadaceae. The record is from RNAcentral.
CCUACGGGGGGCAGCAGUGGGGAAUAUUGGACAAUGGGCGAAAGCCUGAUCCAGCCAUGCCGCGUGUGUGAAGAAGGCCUUCGGGUUGUAAAGCACUUUCAGUGGGGAAGAAAGCCUUGGGGCUAAUACCCUCGAGGAAGGACAUCACCCACAGAAGAAGCACCGGCUAACUCCGUGCCAGCAGCCGCGGUAAUACGGAGGGUGCGAGCGUUAAUCGGAAUUACUGGGCGUAAAGCGCGCGUAGGCGGUCUGAUAAGCCGGUUGUGAAAGCCCCGGACUCAACCUGGGAACGGCAUCCGGAACUGUCAGGCUAGAGUGCAGGAGAGGAAGGUAGAAGUCCCGGUGUAGCGGUGAAAUGCGUAGAGAUCGGGAGGAAUACCAGUGGCGAAGGCGGCCUUCUGGACUGACACUGACGCUGAGGUGCGAAAGCGUGGGUAGCAAACAGGAUUAGAUACCCCAGUAGUC